RNAcentral lists this ribosomal RNA (776 nucleotides) under uncultured Neocallimastigales. RNAcentral describes it as "partial large subunit ribosomal RNA". It matches the Rfam family "Eukaryotic large subunit ribosomal RNA", at positions 24 to 627 of the family's 3401-position model. Lineage: Eukaryota; Fungi; Neocallimastigomycota; Neocallimastigomycetes; Neocallimastigales. The record is from RNAcentral.
UAUGUGAUCGUCUCUCGGCAUAUCAAUAAGCGGAGGAAAAGAAACUAACAAGGAUUCCCCUAGUAACGGCGAGUGAAGCGGGAAGAGCUCAAAUUUGAAAUCUUAAAGGGUUUCCCUUUACGAAUUGUAGUUUAAAGAAGUGUUUUCUGUUGAGGUUUUGGUAAAAGUUCUUUGGAAUAGGACAUCAUAGAGGGUGAGAAUCCCGUAUUUGACCUUUACUUUCAACUUUGUGAUACACUUUCAAAGAGUCGGAUUGUUUGGGAAUGCAGUCCAAAAUGGGUGGUAAAUUUCAUCUAAAGCUAAAUAUUGGCGAGAGACCGAUAGCGGACAAGUACCGUGAGGGAAAGAUGAAAAGAACUUUGAAAAGAGAGUUAAACAGUACGUGAAAUUGUCAAAAGGGAAGCGUUUGACACCAGUGUUGUUUUUUCUGAAAAUCAAUUAAAGAACUGUUUAUGCUAAGUUGUUUAGACUUUAUCAGCUAACUGUUUAGCUUUGAGCUUUUCUUUAAUGCACUUUUCAGUUAACAAGUCAACAUCAAUUUCUUUUGCUGUAAAAAAGCUUGAGGAAGGUGGCUUGAGAUUCGUCUUAAGUGUUUAUAGCCUCUUGCCUAUGCAGUCGGAGAGAUUGAGGUCUGCAGCGUAGAUCCUUCGGGGCUAAAUGCAUUUGUGCUAAGUUAUAGCAUUUUAUAGACAACUUGUUGACUAUGAUUUGUCUUGUAGCUUACUCGCUUAUGUUAUUUUACCUACGCUUAGGAUGUUGAAGACUCUACAGAGAUA